AUGUGUGAUUGGCCUGGCAUUGAGCUGUUAGGAGAGGGAAAUGAGAUCACUUGUCAAGAAAUGUACAUUUUCUCAGAAGACCUUGAUGCCAUGGAAGCAGCAAGGCACAAAACCAUAAAUGACGGACGGCUGAAGCACAUGGGCUCAGAGCUUAAGUUUCCCGUAAAGGAAAGCACGCGGUGGGGCGUCAGUAACUUCAGAGUCCUCCCUGGCUCCUGGCUCCCUGGCUCCCUGGGUCCCUGGGUCCCUGGCUCCUGGCUCCUGGCUCCCUGGCUCCUGGGUCCCUGGCUCCCUGGCUCCUGGGUCCCUGGGUCCCUGGGUCCCUGGGUCCCUGGGUCCCUGGGUCCUGGCUCCCUGGCUCCCUGGCUCC
This 370-nucleotide long non-coding RNA is filed under the name Vulpes vulpes (red fox). RNAcentral's name for it is "lncRNA (ENSVVUG00000022412.1)". Lineage: Eukaryota; Metazoa; Chordata; Mammalia; Carnivora; Canidae. The record is from RNAcentral.